UACCAGUGCUGUUCCCUUAUCCUCCUUUUAUAGAUAAUUCUGAUGUAACCGUCGAGUAUGUAGUCCUACUUUUUAUGACACUAAAUUAUCGAACCGUUAUUGCGGAGUUAGUGGGUCAUUAAUUUCCACUAAUUACCAUGACACGUAGUUGAUAAUCAUUUAUGAUAGUUAUGAUGUAUUGGACAGAUAGACCGACUAUAUGUCGGUCGGUAGCAGUAAGUUGGUAGAAGAUCGAAUGACCAUCGACUGAUAACUCUGAUAUGCCGAUGGUCUUUAAUCGGAGGUUGAUCAAGUCAUUUAUUGUUGAUCGAUAAUAACCGAUUGUCGGUCGGUUGAUCGACUAUGAAUCAGCGUAGUGUGCUUGUGCGGCCGAUGUAGAGUCGAAGUCGGGGGUCAGCUGACUUAUCCCAAUAAUUUUUUUUUUUUUGAUGAGUAUAUUCCCAUGCAUGAUACCUUAACUAAAAUUUCUUAUUUUGUGUACAUAUUGCAUGAUGAUGACAUCUAAGAUGCAUAGAGAGGGUUAGUAAACAAGGAUCAUACUCAACAAAAUAUCACUCCGAAAAGGACCAACUUAAACAGUAUCAAGAUUGGAAUAAAUCCUCCCACGAUUAGAAAAGAAAAUGAGAAAAAAUUCUCCAAAAU
RNAcentral lists this long non-coding RNA (642 nucleotides) under Elaeis guineensis (African oil palm). RNAcentral's name for it is "long non-coding RNA (EGUI_LNC060171)". The record is from RNAcentral. Lineage: Eukaryota; Viridiplantae; Streptophyta; Magnoliopsida; Arecales; Arecaceae.